GACGAACGCUGGCGGCGUGCCUAAUACAUGCAAGUAGAACGCUGAAGAGAGGAGCUUGCUCUUCUUGGAUGAGUUGCGAACGGGUGAGUAACGCGUAGGUAACCUGCCUUGUAGCGGGGGAUAACUAUUGGAAACGAUAGCUAAUACCGCAUAACAAUGGAUGACACAUGUCAUUUAUUUGAAAGGGGCAAUUGCUCCACUACAAGAUGGACCUGCGUUGUAUUAGCUAGUAGGUGAGGUAAUGGCUCACCUAGGCGACGAUACAUAGCCGACCUGAGAGGGUGAUCGGCCACACUGGGACUGAGACACGGCCCAGACUCCUACGGGAGGCAGCAGUAGGGAAUCUGCGGCAAGGGGGGCAACCCUGACCGAGCAACGCCGCGUGAGUGAAGAAGGUUUUCGGAUCGUAAAGCUCUGUUGUAAGUCAAGAACGGGUGUGAGAGUGGAAAGUUCACACUGUGACGGUAGCUUACCAGAAAGGGACGGCUAACUACGUG
This 497-nucleotide ribosomal RNA is filed under the name uncultured bacterium. RNAcentral describes it as "partial 16S ribosomal RNA". It matches the Rfam family "Bacterial small subunit ribosomal RNA", at positions 28 to 507 of the family's 1533-position model. The record is from RNAcentral.